GUCGCUCACCUUGGUCUAUGUGCAUAUUAAACAAAGGACACAAAUGGAUUCAUGACAAAAUUGUAUUUUGGUGAUGGUGAUGUGUUUGAAGUUCUUACUUUACUGAACAUUCUUGCUUCUUACAAUUAUAUCUAUAAUGAACUUUGCCCAUUAGUAACAGAGACUUGCUUAACAAUUUAACUCCUUGUCAGAUUUCCUCUAAAUGAUUUGGUUUCAGAGUUAUAAGCAAAAAACUACAUUUUACCCCUGUUCUAUUUUUAGUCGUGGUGGCCAUCUUGGUUGGAUGGCCAGGUCACGCCACACAUUUUUCAAACAAGGUACCCCAAAGAUGAUUGUGAUUAAGUUUGAAUUAAUUCGGCCCAGUAGUUUCAGAGGAGAAGAUUUUUGUAAAAGAUAACUAAGAUUUACGAAAAAUUGUUAAAAAUUGACUAUAAAGGGCAAUAACUCCUAAAGGGGUCAACUGACCAUUUCGGUCAUGUUGACUUAUUUGUAAAUCUUACUUUGAUGAACAUUAUUGCUGUUUACAGUUUAUCUCUAUCUAUAAUAAUAUUCAAGAUAACCAAAAA
RNAcentral lists this long non-coding RNA (566 nucleotides) under Mytilus galloprovincialis (Mediterranean mussel). Lineage: Eukaryota; Metazoa; Mollusca; Bivalvia; Mytilida; Mytilidae. The record is from RNAcentral.